CAUCUCUUCACUUGCAUGGUAAGUUGUUCGUUUGGCUUUUUGAAUAUCCAUAUCAUACCCAAUGUAGUAUAAUUUACAUAAAAUUUGGUAUAAAAUGAUUCAACUUUGUUUCCCAUCUGGUAACUCUCUGUUCUAAUUUUUUUUUUAUGCUUUUUUUCUGAUGAAUCAUUGAAUUUUUAUGAUAUUGGAAACUGGAUUAUUUUACUCAUCUGCGUAGUUUUGUUCUGUCUAGUAGAUAAGAUUUGUGGGAAGUGGGAACCCAUUUUUGAAAAACAAGCCUUUAAGGUAGCAGAAGGAUUAUAUGAUGGCUUCUGCCGCUUAUUGUGCCACAUGGAAUUCUGAUGCCAUCUUAUAAUUGUUUGGUUUCAAUAACUUGCUUGAUGAGCUGCAGUUCCAUGUUAGUACCAUACAAUUUUAGCAAGGGUAGAAAGGUUGGAUUAUUGUGGGAAUAAUGGUUACAAUUUUAUUUUCCUGUUGGAGAUCUCUCAGUGUGUGUUGUGCAUGUUGAGAAGUUGAUGAAAUGGUUAUCUUGAUAGGAUAGUUGCAUGUAUAUACACUGGAAAUCUGGAUGCAAGAUUUUAGUUAUUAAUCAUUGAGCAAACGAUAAGAGUUAUGAUGAAAUUUUUCACCAUGUAUUGCUCUUUUGAGCUGUAUGACUGUAUAGAAGUUCCAUUUAGUUGUUUUCCUUUACUUUCUUUGUCCUUCUGUUUUGUUUUAUCUCAAAGUAUCAUAUUUGUUACAGGCUCCCAAAAGAGGUGUUAAGG
This 764-nucleotide unclassified non-coding RNA is filed under the name Hevea brasiliensis (rubber tree). Lineage: Eukaryota; Viridiplantae; Streptophyta; Magnoliopsida; Malpighiales; Euphorbiaceae. The record is from RNAcentral.